Molecule: ribosomal RNA, 534 nt
Filed under: uncultured bacterium
Lineage: Bacteria
Description: bacterial SSU rRNA
Rfam family: Bacterial small subunit ribosomal RNA
Source: RNAcentral
UGGCCUUGACAUACUAAGAACUUUCCAGAGAUGGAUUGGUGCCUUCGGGAACUUAGAUACAGGUGCUGCAUGGCUGUCGUCAGCUCGUGUCGUGAGAUGUUGGGUUAACGUCCGCAACGAGCGCAACCCUUUUCCUUAUUUGCCAGCGGGUAAUGCCGGGAACUUUAAGGAUACUGCCAGUGACAAACUGGAGGAAGGCGGGGACGACGUCAAGUCAUCAUAGCCCUUACGGCCAGGGCUACACACGUGCUACAAUGGUCGGUACAAAGGGUUGCUACCUCGCGAGAGGAUGCUAAUCUCAAAAAGCCGAUCGUAGUCCGGAUCGCAGUCUGCAACUCGACUGCGUGAAGUCGGAAUCGCUAGUAAUCGCGGAUCAGAAUGCCGCGGUGAAUACGUUCCCGGGCCUUGUACACACCGCCCGUCACACCAUGGGAGUUUGUUGCACCAGAAGUAGGUAGUCUAACCGCAAGGAGGACGCUUACCACGGUGUGGCCGAUGACUGGGGUGAAGUCGUAACAAGGUAAGCGUAGAUGA